RNAcentral lists this transfer RNA (67 nucleotides) under Cosmoscarta dorsimacula. RNAcentral describes it as "tRNA-Ser". Lineage: Eukaryota; Metazoa; Arthropoda; Insecta; Hemiptera; Cercopidae. The record is from RNAcentral.
AGUUAAUUAGCUUAUAAAAGCAUAUAUUUUGAAAAUAUAAAAUAGAUAAUUAAAAAUCUAUUAACUU